Molecule: ribosomal RNA, 301 nt
Filed under: uncultured bacterium
Lineage: Bacteria
Description: partial 16S ribosomal RNA
Rfam family: Bacterial small subunit ribosomal RNA
Source: RNAcentral
CAGUAGCCGCGGUAAUACGGAGGGUGCAAGCGUUAUCCGGAUUCACUGGGUUUAAAGGGUGCGUAGGCGGGCAGGUAAGUCAGUGGUGAAAUCUUCGAGCUUAACUCGGAAACUGCCGUUGAUACUAUCUGUCUUGAAUAACGUUGAGGUGAGCGGAAUAUGUCAUGUAGCGGUGAAAUGCUUAGAUAUGACAUAGAACACCGAUUGCGAAGGCAGCUCACUAAACGCUCAUUGACGCUGAGGCACGAAAGCGUGGGGAUCAAGCAGGAUUAGAUACCCCCGUAGUCCCUGUCUCUUAUAC